UCUUUCUUUCUUUCCUCUUCUUCUUCUGUUAAUGAUUUCGAGAAUCAGUUCAUGAUUCUGAGUUGAUAUAAGCUGGCAGAGAUCGAAGGUUAAUUGAUGGUGGUAGUUUUGGUUGAUGAGAUGAAAACAAAUCCAACAGAAAAAGUGAAACAAAUAAUUAUAAUUAGGGUUUUAGAUUUCAUUUUGAGAUUCGUUGAAUUGAUUAGUAUUUUGUGUUUAUGUUGGAUGAAGAAAGAAGUGGUUGGUGUUUAAUUAGAGUUUUGAGGUUGAUUCAGUGGAGAAUCAUUGUGGAGAUUUGAUCUAGGGUUUCAGUAGAGUUGCAGAAGAGAAUCCUAAGAUGAAUUUGAUACUCUAGAAGAUCAAUUGAAGAUGGGUUUUGUGUGUUGAACGUAAAUGAGAAGAUUUAAUAUCUGAUUUUAGAUUCACAGAGAAGAAUUUAAGAAUUAGGGUUUCAUGUUCUUCCCCAAUUUAAGAACUAGGGUUUUGAGAAUUAAACAGAUUGUUUAGGGAGAAGAUGAUUUGGUAUUGAUUGUUUGGAAUCAGAAGAAAUAAGGGGUUGGUUUCAAUCUGGUUGAGACAAGCUGACCUGAGGUAUUUGAUCUUCUCUGUAAUUUUAGUUAAGUUAUUCAUUUCAAAUUGUUGAAUUUAUGAAUGUUUGUUGAGCUAAGAAUUGAAAUGAUAUUGGAGAGGGUGUUGUGAACUGUUGGUGUUGAAGUUGAUUGAGAUAAACUGAGUAAAGGUUGUUUGAGUGUGAGAUUGUGAAGGAUUGGGUUUGAAGUCAGUUAUCAAGAAGAAUAAGAGUUCAAUUGUUGCUGGCAGUGGUGGUGUAAUUGAAUGUGCAGGGUUGUUUGAGAUGAUUUCUAGAUGAAUGUUAGGUUAUUAAAAGGCGGCAUCUAUAGGAAAAGUAUAGUUGAUGAUUUGUGGUCUUAGUUGGAGUUGUUAUGGUUGCGUAUAAGUUUGGUUUGAGAAAGUUCAGAGAGGUGGUGAUGUUGUCUAUGGAGUUCUAUUUGUGUUUGAGUUGCGGAUAACAGUACAUGGAGGAGGCCUGGGAUGCAUUUGAAUGGGCACUGGGGUUACAGUACAAUGAAAUAAUAAGUUAAACCCUGUGAAGUGAGGUAAUGGUGGUAUAUGUGGUAUUGCAAGUGUUAUGAGUAAUUACAUUAAAAGUGUAGGAGCUGUAGUGUUGUUUGAAUUGGAGUUUAAUUGAAUGAAAUGGGAAAUGAAUGGAACUGUCAGUUGCAGAAAAGGGUUGAGUUGAAUCUCUUUAAUAGAAGCUUAAAGCUGCAAAAUGCAGUUAAUCCAUGUAAACAACUAUCGAUACAAAAGAUGAACCAGUGGAUCUCGAGGUAGGCAUGGCCUGUCAUCAAUUCAGUUUCAGUUAUCAGAAGAAAUGAAGCGGUCGAAGAUAUCUGUUUCGUAGCUUAGAGCUUUAUCGAAUCUAAUGUUGUUGUGUAUCUUUUACUACACGUAUUCUUUCUUUCUAUGUAAACAACACAUUGAUAUAUUCUUAGAACUCGAAAGACUUUCGUGUAUAUA
Long non-coding RNA from Papaver somniferum (opium poppy), 1536 nucleotides. RefSeq lists it as uncharacterized. The transcript has 3 exons. NCBI's taxonomy places the organism in Eukaryota, Viridiplantae, Streptophyta, Magnoliopsida, Ranunculales, Papaveraceae. The record is from RefSeq and is a predicted model, not a curated record.